This is a long non-coding RNA of Prosopis cineraria, 881 nucleotides long. RefSeq lists it as uncharacterized. NCBI's taxonomy places the organism in Eukaryota, Viridiplantae, Streptophyta, Magnoliopsida, Fabales, Fabaceae. The record is from RefSeq and is a predicted model, not a curated record. The transcript is spliced from 4 exons.
AAAGUCUAGAUGAAAUCUAAAGGUUGAAGGUUGAUGGUGGCUAUACACUGAAGGCUGAAGCUCAAUGGCGACUUGGUUGAAGAAGGUCUAUUAAGCGCGAUGGAGUUGAGGAUAAGGCGGUGGAAAAUGGAAAUGGAGGCGCAAACCACAAAUCAUUUCUAAUCUUUUGAGUGCAAAUCCAUGAAAAGGGCCUCUAACAACUUCAAUUCUUAGGCCCAAGGAAAUUUCAGGACAACUUUGGGCCCUCUUCCAUUUUUCAUCUGAACUAUUGAAGUCUAAACCCUAGCCGCCGCAUUGGGAGCUCUGUGGAGCUGGUGGAGCGUUCUACGAAGGAGAUGCGCGAAACAAACAACGACGGGAAAACAACGGUGGGUGACUCGACUGAGCACGGUGGACGACGGUAUUAAAGUUGACGGGAUUGAAUCUCCAAAAUCAACGAUCCUGAGGCGCAGUAUCAGUCGCCUAAUGCAAGCUGCAAAAAUAGAUGUUGGGGUUUGCUUUGCAGCCUUAACGUGUUUGGGUUGCCAAUAUCACCCAUAAAUUUCAAGAGAAGGGCUUUAACCCUGAAAGGCAAUCAGCUGCAGCAAAAUCUUGCAAAGCUCUUGGAUAAUUGAGAAUGAUUCGGAGCCUUGAACAUGAAAUGCAAAGCUGCCUUGUGUUUUGUUACAUCAUUAUAUUUAGGAUAAUUGAGUAGUAUUUUUAUUUAAAUUAAUUUCCUUAUGAGGUUAUCUUAUCCUUCUCUCUUAUAAUUAUAUUCUUCUAUGAGGCUUCUUCUGUGUCUUUUGAAGGCCUAUUUUUAACCUUCAAUUAUACUUAAAAAUAGAAAUGAUUGAUAUAGAACAAUAUAUUUUUUGAAAUUUAUGACCAGCUUUGGAUUUUAA